CGCGUAGGCGGGAGGUAAGCCGGGUGUGAAAUCCCUCGGCCCAACCGAGGAACUGCGCCCGAGACUGCUUCUCUUGAGUCCCGGAGAGGAAGGUGGAAUUCCCGGUGUAGCGGUGAAAUGUGUAGAGAUCGGGAGGAACACCGGUGGCGAAGGCGGCCUUCUGGACGGUGACUGACGCUGAGGCGCGAAAGCGUGGGGAGCAAACGGGAUUAGAUACCCCGGUAGUCCACGCUGUAAACGAUGGGUGCUAGGUGUGGGGGUAUCGACCCUCCCGUGCCGAAGCUAACGCAUUAAGCACCCCGCCUGGGGAGUACGGCCGCAAGGUUGAG
This 329-nucleotide ribosomal RNA is filed under the name uncultured bacterium. RNAcentral's name for it is "bacterial SSU rRNA". It matches the Rfam family "Bacterial small subunit ribosomal RNA", at positions 568 to 898 of the family's 1533-position model. The record is from RNAcentral.